This 512-nucleotide ribosomal RNA is filed under the name uncultured bacterium. RNAcentral describes it as "partial 16S ribosomal RNA". It matches the Rfam family "Bacterial small subunit ribosomal RNA", at positions 28 to 523 of the family's 1533-position model. The record is from RNAcentral.
GACGAACGCUGGCGGCGUGCCUAAUACAUGCAAGUCGAGCGGAACUGGGGGAGCUUGCUCCUUCCAGUUUAGCGGCGGACGGGUGAGUAACACGUGGGCAACCUGCCCUGCAGAUCGGGAUAACUCCGGGAAACCGGUGCUAAUACCGAAUAGUUUGGCGCCUCUCCUGAGGCGCUACGGAAAGACGGUUUCGGCUGUCACUGCAGGAUGGGCCCGCGGCGCAUUAGCUAGUUGGUGGGGUAACGGCCCACCAAGGCGACGAUGCGUAGCCGACCUGGGAGGGUGACCGGCCACACUGGGACUGGGACACGGCCCAGACUCCUACGGGAGGCAGCAGUAGGGAAUCUUCCGCAAUGGACGCAAGUCUGACGGAGCAACGCCGCGUGAGUGACGAAGGUUUUCGGAUCGUAAAACUCUGUUGUGAGGGAAGAACACGUACCAACUAACUAUUGGUACCUUGACGGUACCUCACCAGAAAGCCACGACUAACUACGUGCCAGCCGCCGCAGUAA